This 1793-nucleotide ribosomal RNA is filed under the name Diura knowltoni. Its description in RNAcentral is "partial 28S ribosomal RNA". It matches the Rfam family "Eukaryotic large subunit ribosomal RNA", at positions 24 to 1895 of the family's 3401-position model. The record is from RNAcentral. Lineage: Eukaryota; Metazoa; Arthropoda; Insecta; Plecoptera; Perlodidae.
UCCCGCGUAAUUUAAGCAUAUUAAUAAGCGGAGGAAAAGAAACUAACAAGGAUUCCCUUAGUAGCUGCGAGCGAACAGGGAGGAGCCCAGCACUGAAUCCUGCGCGCAAAGCACGCGUCUGGAAAUGUAGUGUUUGGGAGGGCACAAUUAUCUCGCCGGUGGGCGCCCGUCCAAGUCCGUCUUGAAAGCGGCCACAGCCCAUAGAGGGUGCCAGGCCCGUCUGACGGCGCAUACAAACACCGGCGAAAGUGUCUCAGAGUUCAAGAGUACGUGAAACCGUUCAGGGGUAAACGGGCGAGAUCUGGAAAAUCGAAGCGAGUCAUUCACGUCUGCAUGUCGCGUGUAACUAGGCUCCCGUCGAUGGUCGGUGUCGGCUACCGUGUCGCGUCGCAAGGCGCGCGCGCGUGGGUCGCUCCGCCACGAACGGAAGGGUCUACGUUCGCCGAUGUCGGGCUGCACUUGUCUCGUUGUAGUACGUCGCGACCCGUUGGGUGUGUGUCGCAGGGGCCGUCGUGGAGCUGGAAACGUGCGUGGGUGUGUUGCCGUUCGUAAGAGCGGUGGCCCUCCGUCGUAUCCAACCGUGUGGUUACCCGACACACGACAGCCCGACGGUAGCUAAGUGAGAGGGCGUUGUCUAGUGUUAAGAGCCUCCGGCUUAUGGGGGUGGCGCGCAAGCGCACGCUGAUCGUCCGGCGACGAUCUAACCGGAUACUCUUCCGACCCGUCUUGAAACACGGACCAAGGAGUCUAACAUGUACGCGAGUCAUUGGGACCGCACUAAACCUAAAGGCGAAAUGAAAGUAAAGGUCGCGGCGCAAGCCCGGCCCACAGAGGGGAGAUGUCCGUGGCGUCCCUAGUGUCGCCGACGGAUCGCAUCCCCGGGGCGUCUCGUUGUCAUUGCGACACAGUAGGCGCACCCAGAGCGUACACGUUGGGACCCGAAAGAUGGUGAACUAUGCCUGGUCAGGUCGAAGUCAGGCUGGCGCUCGGAGAACUAAAUGAGUAAGGUGUCGCAGUUGUUUCGCACAAUGGGCACACUACCAGUCUCAUCUGGUAAAGCGAAUGAUUAGAGGCCUUGGGGCCGAAACGACCUCAACCUAUUCUCAAACUUUAAAUGGGUGAGAAAAUCGACUUGCUUAAAUGCUUGAAGUCGAUGUGCGCUUAAUUGUGCACGUUAAAGUGGAUGAGCGAGUGCCAAGUGGGCCAUUUUUGGUAAGCAGAACUGGUGCUGUGGGAUGAACCAAACGUCGAGUUAAGGCGCCUAAAACGAUGCUCAUGGGAUACCAUGAAAGGCGUUGGUUGCUUAAGCGAUGUUGAUGUGCUGUCGUUUUAGAACCGAUCGUUGUGACUUGUCAUGACAAUGCCACGGUUUGACCACAUCGGGCGAAAGGGAAUCUGGUUCCUAUUCCGGAACCCGGCUGCGGAACCGACCAUGCGGGCCAAUGCGAAACCGUGACUCAACGUACUUACCGCCGCCUGUCUGCUUCGGUAGACUUGCGGAAACGGCGUGCGCGUUGCGCGUCUAGCAACUCGUCGGGGUAACCCAAAAGGACCCGGAGACGCCGCCGGAUGAUCGAGGCAGAGUUUUCUGUUCUGCAUAAGCAUUCGAGUUCCCUGGAAUCGCCUAGCGCGGAGAUAGGGUUUGGAAUGCGAAGAGCACCGCACUUGCGGCGGUGUCUCGAUCUAUCUCGCGGACCUUGAAAAUCCGGGAGAGGGCCACGUGGAGGUGUCGCGCCGGCUCGUACCCAUAUCCGCAGCAGGUCUCCAAGGUGAGCAGCCUCUAGUCGAUAGAA